GAUGAACGCUGGCGGCGUGCCUAAUACAUGCAAGUCGAGCGAACAGACGAGGAGCUUGCUCCUCUGACGUUAGCGGCGGACGGGUGAGUAACACGUGGAUAACCUACCUAUAAGACUGGGAUAACUUCGGGAAACCGGAGCUAAUACCGGAUAAUAUUUUGAACCGCAUGGUUCAAUAGUGAAAGACGGUUUUGCUGUCACUUAUAGAUGGAUCCGCGCUGCAUUAGCUAGUUGGUAAGGUAACGGCUUACCAAGGCAACGAUGCGUAGCCGACCUGAGAGGGUGAUCGGCCACACUGGAACUGAGACACGGUCCAGACUCCUACGGGAGGCAGCAGUAGGGAAUCUUCCGCAAUGGGCGAAAGCCUGACGGAGCAACGCCGCGUGAGUGAUGAAGGUCUUCGGAUCGUAAAACUCUGUUAUUAGGGAAGAACAAAUGUGUAAGUAACUAUGCACAUCUUGACGGUACCUAAUCAGAAAGCCACGGCUAACUACGUG
This 497-nucleotide ribosomal RNA is filed under the name uncultured bacterium. RNAcentral describes it as "partial 16S ribosomal RNA". It matches the Rfam family "Bacterial small subunit ribosomal RNA", at positions 28 to 507 of the family's 1533-position model. The record is from RNAcentral.